CUACAAUGGUUGGUACAACGAGUUGCGAGUCGGUGACGGCGAGCUAAUCUCUUAAAGCCAAUCUCAGUUCGGAUUGUAGGCUGCAACUCGCCUACAUGAAGUCGGAAUCGCUAGUAAUCGCGGAUCAGCACGCCGCGGUCGAAUACGUUCCGGGCCUU
Molecule: ribosomal RNA, 158 nt
Filed under: uncultured Streptococcus sp.
Lineage: Bacteria; Bacillati; Bacillota; Bacilli; Lactobacillales; Streptococcaceae
Description: partial 16S ribosomal RNA
Rfam family: Bacterial small subunit ribosomal RNA
Source: RNAcentral